This 397-nucleotide long non-coding RNA is filed under the name Mytilus galloprovincialis (Mediterranean mussel). The record is from RNAcentral. Lineage: Eukaryota; Metazoa; Mollusca; Bivalvia; Mytilida; Mytilidae.
CUUUGAACAUGCCGGGAGUGAAAUUAAUCUCAUUAAAGUCUUGUUCGUUAACCAUCUAAUAACGCUAUAUAAAGCGCAUCGACGACCUUUGGUGUAGCUGUUAACCAACGAAAAGUAAGUGAUAGCCAUAUGCAACUUUUAAAAUUAGAUUGUAGGAUUUAUGUGUGGAUUUUUUAUACGAAUUCUAGUAAUUAAAGUAAAUAAUACAAUAGAACAUUUUUAUGAGUUUUUUUCUUCAAACACUUUAAACAAACAUAUGAAACUGACACGAUCGAUAGUGUAUUAAAAAAUACAUGUUUGUAUUCUGAACUUUUUGCGUCAUUCCAGCAAACAUUUUCACUUGCUUGUAUUGUGGAAAUAAAAUGUGUAUUAAUUUGUGACACCUAGUGAAUGUUGA